Molecule: long non-coding RNA, 996 nt
Organism: Malania oleifera
Lineage: Eukaryota; Viridiplantae; Streptophyta; Magnoliopsida; Santalales; Ximeniaceae
Exons: 2
Source: RefSeq, a predicted model, not a curated record
CGGGGCGGAGACAAAAACAAAAAAAAAAAACCUAAGCCUCCCGUUGGUUCUCCCUUGUCCACACACAGCCGCAGCCUCUCUAUCUCCAUCAUCUCUUUGAAACAUAACCACUCGCAGCUUCUUCUUCUUCUUCUUCUUCUUCUUCUUCCUGCCAGUCUUCUCCUCCAACCUCUGCGCCAGCUUCUUCUCUCCCAACUCCCUCUGUAACUCUCCUGCUUCCCCUCUUUCUCCCAUCUCCACUACGCCAGACUAGCACCCGAGCGCCCCCCUUUCUUCUUGCUCACGUUCUCAACCAACAACCACUGGCCUCCUCUGCCGCCAGUCCAUAGGAUCCAGCCGCCACAGCUCCUCCGGCCAUCCCCUGCAACUCCAACCGCCGCAUUCCAGUACCAGAACAGAAGCAGCCAGCCACCAACACCCCGAGCCCUCCAUCACGGCAUUACGGGUUUCAGGUGGGAAGGCAGCAGCAGCGUGGCAGGAGGCUACUCUGGAAGUCUUGAGCUGGAAGUCCUCUGUUGGAGCACGAAGCACCAAAAGCAACAGCAACCCAAGAGCCCGGCGUUCGUUUGUGUUUUUCGGCGGCCAUCUUUCUCAGUUUUUUCUUUUUUAGUUCCGGCAACAGCACCAGUCAUCUUCUCCGGCGCUCACUGCUGUUUUUCUCCGGUGUUCUUUCGGCGUUCGCUCGUCUUUCCGGCCACCCCUGCUCCGGUCACCCAUCUUGAUCACCACCAGCCGUGAGUCGCCCUUCACCGCACCGGCAUCACCAGCCCCACAGGACCUCCGACCACCAUCAUAGCCCAACACUUGGUGACAUCCUCUUCCAGCUCCGGCGGUUUCCUUUUUAUUUGUGGGGGCUGGUUUCAAUUUUUAAAUUUUGAAUUGUACAUAUGUUAAAUAGGUAACAUUAUGGUUGAUUGAAUAUUAUUGUUAAAGUUUUAAUUUUCUUAUUGUCAUAUAUUUAUUUAAUAAAUAGUAUAUUACUAUUUAGGGUUGUAA